This 282-nucleotide long non-coding RNA is filed under the name Lathyrus oleraceus (garden pea). RNAcentral describes it as "Pisum sativum (pea) long non-coding RNA (PSAT_LNC011949)". Lineage: Eukaryota; Viridiplantae; Streptophyta; Magnoliopsida; Fabales; Fabaceae. The record is from RNAcentral.
AUAUAUCAUAUAUAAACUAUUACCAAACUGUGUGUACGAUAGUAUAGAUCAGCCACUCUCAGUUUCUCUUUUUUGUUCUGUCUUUUGGCCUCUCUCUAUCAGUCAUGCUAGUAAAUAUAUAUAGGAACAAAUUAGGUUAAUGAUAAUGGGCCUAAGUUUAUUUUGAAACCCAAUAUUAAAUUAAAAACUGAAUAAAGUUAAAUAAUUAAAAUAGUUAAAAUUAAAAUAAAAACUAAUUAACCUAUUUAUUUAUUCUAGACCCAAUAUAAAAAUAAAUAGACU